RNAcentral lists this ribosomal RNA (408 nucleotides) under uncultured eukaryote. RNAcentral describes it as "SSU rRNA". It matches the Rfam family "Eukaryotic small subunit ribosomal RNA", at positions 594 to 939 of the family's 1831-position model. The record is from RNAcentral.
AUAGCGUAUAUUAAAGUUGUUGCAGUUAAAACGUUCGUAGUUGAACUUGUGUUCCGCACAGGCAGUGCCUACGACUAGGUCACUAGUUCGGUACUUUGUCUUUUCACAUUCGUGGAAAAAGUGCGUGGACGUAUUAUCGGCGUGUUCAUCUUUCGGGAUGUUCACUUAAGCUCAUUUCAGUGCUCUUCAUCGAGUGUUGUUGUGAGCCGAUACAAAUUACUUUGAACAAAUUAGAGUGCUUAAAGCAGGCUUAAAAUGCCUGAAUAUUUUGUGCAUGGAAUAAUGUAAUAGGACAUCUGUUCUACUUUCAUUGGUUUUUUAGAUCAAGAUGUAAUGAUUAAUGGAGGCAAUUGGGGGCAUUAGUAUUACAACGCGAGAGGUGAAAUUCUUAGACCGUAGUAAGACUAA